ACAAUGACCCCAAGAUACGACACAAAAAGGGAGCUGUCCUUCUACAAGUGCUUGAUCAACUGAUUUAUGGAAAGAAGUUCAGAAUAUGAAGUGCAACAAGGGUAUGUCCAACACACUUUCUGUGACACUUGUCUUUGAAUGCAAAGGAUGUCCAAGAUUCCAGUGAUUGUAACAAGUCAAUAUGAUUACCUGAAAAAGUGUCACAAGUACAGUCUGCAGAGACAAGCACUUCUAUCAUUGAGGGAAAGUCUGCAUUGUCAAGUUCUUUGCAUAGACAGAAAAGAGAUAAGCAAUGGGGUGUA
Saccostrea echinata is the source of this 302-nucleotide long non-coding RNA. RefSeq lists it as uncharacterized. The transcript has 3 exons. Lineage: Eukaryota; Metazoa; Mollusca; Bivalvia; Ostreida; Ostreidae. The record is from RefSeq and is a predicted model, not a curated record.